AACGGCCGUACCGUGCUGAAUAUACCGGUUCUCGUUAGAUCACCGAAGUUAAGCAUCAUUGGGCGCGGUCAGUACUUUUGAAAACAUGUGGAUACAUAUUUCAGUGACCACCUGGGAACACCAC
Molecule: non-coding RNA, 124 nt
Organism: Caerostris darwini
Lineage: Eukaryota; Metazoa; Arthropoda; Arachnida; Araneae; Araneidae
Source: the annotation of a GenBank genome assembly